ACGAAAAUGCCUUCCUAAACUAACCCACCCCAUUUCGAAUUGGCGAGACACACUGCGAAGACCACUUUCGCCCUAACCCAGUGCCACCCCGCGUCGCCUCCCUCUGCCUAGUGCCACCCCGCGACUCUGUCCCUUUGUAAAGCGCCACCCCGUGACACUCCUCCAUCGCUCCACCCCUCCCCGAAGCGAGUACAUAUCGGUGCAGAUCUUUAUAAGCAGGAUCUUUAAGGUCAGCUCUAUGUAUUCAAAUCCAUUGUUUUUGUGGUGUUAAUUACUCUAUUGGAUUCCUUUUUGUUCUGUUCAUUAAACCCUAACCUAGACCCUCCCUUUCCGUACUCUUCGCACUCUUCUUUUCCUUCCCCCCUCCUUUGCUCGCACAAACGCAGGUAGACACACCCCACAAACAGAGGCAGAAACAAACGCAUAUCUCGUUUGUCCUUCGGAGUAAUUUGCAAUAUGCUGCACUGAGUGCUUUGAGAAGACUUCCUCUGGAUCCCGGAACUCCCGCAUUUCUUCCUCGUGCUGUACAGGGGUAAGUUCUUCAUUCUUUCACUGAUUGUUUUUUAAGGUGUUGGAUUUCCUGUUGCAAGGUUAUGGUGGGAUACUUGAAGCAGUGACUUAGUGGCUUUUGAUGGAAAUAGAAGUUUAUCUUUGUGGAUUUUGUUCUUUUGUGAAACUCAAGGAUUUGAUUUAUGUUGUGAUUUUCCUCCUUUCUUUUUGGGCCUUCAGAGUUGCACUAGCUUUUUGGGUUCUCUUUAAUAAAUCUUAUUGGAUUUUGUUCUUUGUUUUUGUAAUAAAUUCUUGUAACGUUCCCCCCCCCAAAAAGGAAAAAACUGCAGUAUUACUCAUAAAAAGGAACUAAUUCAAUGCUUGUUUAGUAAGUAAGAUAAGUUCUAUUAAUGAUUAAAAACGCACUAUCGGCUAUCCUUUAAGAACAGGGAGUAUACAUCAAAUACACCAAACUAGAGAAAGCAAAGAUAUCAAGAAAAUAUAGGAAGUUAAAAUUACAGAAAUAUAAGCUUUCCAUCCAAUAAAAAUGUGUAUUAAAAAGAAACUCUGAGUUCCUACAUCGCGCCUAUACAAUUUUUGAAACUCUAAUUGUUUCUUUCUCACCUUAUGUAUACGUAUAUAUAUAAUAUUGAUCUCUCAGAUAUAAAUAUAUAUAUAUAUAUAUAUAUAUAAUAUCUGAAUGAUGUUGUUGUGCUAAUAAUUAUUAGCUCUCUGCCAUUUUGACUUGGAAAGAUACAUCUUUCCAACUCAAGAUAUUUUGUAGUCAGCUUGCUACCUAUAUAUAUAGUGUGGCAAGCUGACUACUAAAUAUUUAGGGUAAAAUCUAACCACCUAACUACGUACAUCGAUCCAUCUAAAGUACUUUAGUAUAAAAUCUUUAUUUCAAACAUGAAUCAUAUACAUACCCUGAAAGGAUUAUCAAUAACAUAGCUGUUACGCUUAAGAAUGUAUGUUACACAACCAAAAGAGAGUCAACAUAAUCAAGCUUUUCCUCACCAUGAUGGUAGGUUUGAAGAAAGAUAUUUUAUUGCUCAAAAUAACUUACAAUUAAAGCUUCCUGCUGCAAACAAAUAGCUAGAAUGAAUACCAUAUUCAGAAAUUUCUUCAACAUCUGUCAAAUGGAGAAAAAUAUCGGGUUUUUGUUUUGGGUCAUUAAGUGACAGCAAAGACUAUAAACAACUGAUUUUCAUGACAAAGAGUUGGUUAUGUGUAGUUAAAAACUUUAUUAGAACUAACUACGAGUAAAACUAGAGAAGAUAAAAAUGAGGACAACACAUGUACUGGUGUUCACUCUGCUUGGAACCACUGCAAUUUAUUAGCCACUGGAUCAUUAGACUAUUGCAUGUAAAUUAGAUCACAUAAAUUACAUGCAGAUAUGGCUGAGAACCAAUGUAUUUUAUUUGUGCAAUCGUCCCAUGCAGUUUGUGGAAAAAAGAGGAACAAAUCUGUACAUUAGCUUAGCUCACAUGCGCCCCAGUUCAACUUAUUCAUGCACUUAAACUUUUUUCAACGCGAUCAGUCUAUCUAUGUGUGACAUUGCAACAACCUCAAUUCAGCAACUCACUUUAUUUAGUUUCUUUUAUAGCAUUUACCAGUUGCAGUUUGUCCCUUGUAUUUCUAUUUCUAUUUCUAUUUUGAUGUUUCAAAACUCUUCUAAAUAGACACAUUUAUUAGCAAAACAGUAAAAGUAACAAUAGCCAUCGCCACCAUAUUCCAAUAGCAGCUUUUACUUCUUCAUUUAGUUUUAAAAUAGUAAGUUUGAUAUAUUUUGUCAAAACCUCUCUUGUUUAAAUAAAGAACUCAUCCUGCUUUUUUACCUUGCUCAUAGAUCAUCAUGAUCAUCAAGAUCAGUUGAUAAUAGAACAUCUAAAACUUUUUAGGCCAAGAAUUUCUUGAGCAUGCUUGCAAGUAAUAAGGAUCAUGCUCUUGUAUUACCCCUAGGUUCUUCAGAAUUGGGGCGAGUUAUAAGGAUCGUGCUAGCUAGGGGGCAUUACAAAAACUCAAUAUCAGAUCUUUUAUUUGAUAAAAUUAUGCGAAGCUGGAUACAGUUAACCAUGUUUUCACUAACAAGCCACAGCAAUUAUUAGAGAAAUCCAAAAACAUAAAUUUAUGGAUUUUCCUUACACUCCGUAUAAAUUAAGGCCUAAAUUAGCAAAUGUUUUUUUUAUUGCCCCUCUUUUCCCUUUUCCUAAUCUCUAGUAUGGUAAAAAGCUAGAAGUCUCACUACUUAUCAGAAUUCCUUAGCUCACUAAAUUCUUUUAGUUAAUCAUAAUCCAGGUGCAUGGAAGUUCUUCCCAUUUUGAUGAUGGCCACCCACAUAUUUUCCUUGGGAGAAAAAGGUUUUUGAAGUUCUGAUAAUAAUUUAUAUCUAUUCUAAAAGGGUCAAAAUGAGAUUUUUGAUAAGUCUCAUAUGAUUUGGGUUUUUCUUGAUCUAUCUAUUACAAAUAAUAUCACCAAUCUCACUUUAGCCAUGAUAAGUAAGAUCAUGCAAUUUGUAACGAUCUUAAGUGCUGGUUCUUUUAAAAUGAUGAGGACUUAUAUCUUUAUAUUGUUAUAAAUAUAUUUUAACAUAUGGUAAAUGAGAUUUCACUAUAUUUGUGAGAUAGAAAUUAUUAUAGUUUAUAAAACUAAAUGGAUUCCAUUAAUUAUAACAUUCACAUAUUCUUUUACUAACAUAUUUUACAGAGUCUUUUUUUGUAUCAUUUAUGCCCCCUUUUGAUUUCCUUAAGCAUCUCUAUGGGGGGGACAAUGUCUCUAAUACUCUCAGGUGUGUUAGAGAGGCUCAAUCCCUCCUUCAUAGAGUUUGAGAAUAUCUUGUAAGCUGUCAAACUCAUUGGGGGUGCAGUCCAAUGACUCCUCAUCACACCCAAUUACAUUAAAGAGUAGUGAAUGGUCUUUUUAAAAGAAAACAAAAAUUAUGCUACGUGGCAGUUUCCUUGUGUUAUGUAGGUGUGCAACUGCAGCCUUUUAACAUUGAAAAUGUUCAGUGAGAAAUAACUAAUUGCUUAAAUUAUAUUGCACUUGUCAAUUUUCAUAUUUUUUUCUUUU
This is a long non-coding RNA of Carya illinoinensis, 3558 nucleotides long. RefSeq lists it as uncharacterized. Lineage: Eukaryota; Viridiplantae; Streptophyta; Magnoliopsida; Fagales; Juglandaceae. The transcript is spliced from 2 exons. The record is from RefSeq and is a predicted model, not a curated record.